GAGGGUGAACCGAAGUGGCCGAGGGGCCAGGCUGUGACCCUGGCUGUAGCGGGUUCGAGUCCCGUCACCCUCC
This 73-nucleotide transfer RNA is filed under the name Nocardiopsaceae bacterium. RNAcentral's name for it is "tRNA-His". It matches the Rfam family "tRNA". Rfam says of the family: Transfer RNA (tRNA) molecules are approximately 80 nucleotides in length. Their secondary structure includes four short double-helical elements and three loops (D, anti-codon, and T loops). Lineage: Bacteria; Bacillati; Actinomycetota; Actinomycetes; Streptosporangiales; Nocardiopsidaceae. The record is from RNAcentral.